Molecule: long non-coding RNA, 2020 nt
Organism: Girardinichthys multiradiatus
Lineage: Eukaryota; Metazoa; Chordata; Actinopteri; Cyprinodontiformes; Goodeidae
Exons: 3
Source: RefSeq, a predicted model, not a curated record
CGCAUGGCUCCAUGGACACGCAUGAGGAGAGGGUUGCGCUGCUGUUAGACGUCCUGUGGGCACACACGCAGACAAAAGAAAAAACAUUAAGAGUAAAACAAGCCCACAAAGCUUCAAAUAAAAAGAAAUGACAUCAAAUGUGCCUUUUGCAGAUUCUGUUUUAUUCUUGAUACAAACAGCAGGGUGGAGGGAGCUGUAGCAGCUGGUCUGUGGCUUCAAUGUCAACACAUUUUCCUUUGCAUCAUUUCCUCACAUGUAGUCACUUUGCUACUGGCCUACCAUAUAUUGCCAGGAGCAUACAAAAGCUCUUUAAUGGUCCAAUUACCAGGAGUAAAUGGCCAGAUUAAUUCAGCCCACUCAAAAGGAGAAUGUGCCAAUUAAAUCACUGCAGGAGCUGAGCCCAUAAGUUGCGCUGUGAUUUACUCUACCAUUUUCCUUCUAUUCCCACAAAAAAAAGUUUUCUACCUAGAGACUUCAAAUUUUAAGAACGGUUUUAUUUUCAGAUCAGAAGCUGAGCAGGUUUGAGCGUUAGUUUGACUGCACAAAACUAUAGCAACUGCGUAAAAAUAAACAGCCAUUGUGGCUUUUAAGAGAGAGAGAGGCUAAGAUUCAACAGACGAAGUGGCAGCACGACCCUAAAACAUAAUAAAACAACAAAAACAAGUCGACAUAACAACGACAAAACCAUUUCAGCAAUAGCUAGGAGAGUCAUAACACUCUUUUACAUAUCUGGAAUGUACCAGUGUGUGUCUGACUAUAGCCCUGGGUGUUGGAAAUCACUGUGUAACACGCUGCAAUUUUCUCUUAGCAUGAAACACAAAGAGGCUUCCGGAGAAACAAAUGGAAAUUACCUCUCGAAUGACUUUUAAAAAACUUUACCAGAUCCUUCAAACAUGCAUGUGUAUAGCGUGUUCCUCCAACUUAUGGCCAAGUCUUUUUGUUUGACAGUUUGACAUGUUUGAAAUUCAAUUAAAAAGCUUUCUUUGUCCGGGAGGACAAAUAUCUCUCCUUAGUUAUCAUUUCAUAUUUUUCUUAUUUAUGGACAUUUUAAAUGUGUUUUUUCUUCAUAAUGAAUAAUAGAUUUCUAUGAGCUAUUGCUUGUACGGAUCAAAUUACUUUCCCUGUGAAAGAAAGGGAACGCUAUGACAAAUCCUUAAAUUACCACCAGUCUCUGCUGUUGCUCUCAGAUCGAUAUAAACGUCAACAUGUUGUGUUUCUGUUGUAGCAUUUAUCUUCUUUUUUUUUCUUUCAGGCAAAAAGAUAGUAGUUACCAGCUACAUAAAACCCCUGCUGGCUACCCAACUCAGCAUGAAACACUGCAGCUUGACAGUGAAACCAGACCUCUGUUUCACUGAGACUCUGGAUAUGCUGGUACUGCGUCAGAACCGGUUCCGUCCGUGUUCAAGAACUUACCAACUUAUGUUGGCAGUGAAGUAUUGAUGUUGUAGCAACUAUAAUAUAUAUAUAAUCAGUGUCAUAGUUAGGAAAAAAUUUAAACUUCUGCAUUGUCAAUAUUUCAUACAUAAUUAUAUUUAUUUUCAAUCAAUUUAAUUACAUGUUAUCAAGGAUUAUAUUUAUUACUAAUUAUGCUGAGGUUUUUUACUGUCUUAAUUAAGUAAAGGCAGCGCCAUAGAAAGAGAGAGUUAUGACACUUCCAUUGACUUCUAUAGAAAGAAUGGAAUGCGGAAAUGACGUGGGUCAUGGAGAUGCUAAUAGUUCCAAACACCAGCAGCUCCAGCAUUGGACGUAGUUCAUUCUUGGUAUUUCGGAAGGAUUUUUUACGGUAAACCACACGAGAAUGCUGAACUGCUGAACCAUGUUGCACACAAAGCACCACAAAGCAGAUGUGGUGACUGACUUCAAAGGGAGCUGCUGCCAAUGAUGCCAAGGAGGAUGAACCCUCAUUUGGACUUCGGCACAUUUCUACCUUGUCCAGAUUUGAUCAGAUAGCAGAUGUAAUUAAUAAAUUGUAUAAAUGGUAGUGCAAGUACUUCUUUAUUAAAGCUAGUUUUGCAUUUUA